GGGCCCGCACAAGCGGUGGAGCAUGUGGUUUAAUUCGAUGAUACGCGAGGAACCUUACCAGGGCUUAAAUGGGAAAUGACAGGGGCAGAGACGCCCCCUUCUUCGGACAUUUUUCAAGGUGCUGCAUGGUUGUCGUCAGCUCGUGCCGUGAGGUGUUAGGUUAAGUCCUGCAACGAGCGCAACCCCUACCGUUAGUUGCCAGCGAUUCAAGUCGGGGACUCUAACGGGACUGCCGGUGCAAACCGUGAGGAAGGUGGGGACGACGUCAAAUCAUCACGGCCCUUACAUCCUGGCCACACACGUGCUACAAUGGUAGUGACAGAGGGCAGCCACUGGGUGACCAGGAGCGAA
Molecule: ribosomal RNA, 351 nt
Filed under: uncultured bacterium
Lineage: Bacteria
Description: bacterial SSU rRNA
Rfam family: Bacterial small subunit ribosomal RNA
Source: RNAcentral